Molecule: ribosomal RNA, 186 nt
Filed under: uncultured bacterium
Lineage: Bacteria
Description: partial 16S ribosomal RNA
Rfam family: Bacterial small subunit ribosomal RNA
Source: RNAcentral
ACGAAGACUGGAAUCGCUAGUAAUCGCGGAUCAGCACGCCGCGGUGAAUACGUUCCCGGGCCUUGUACACACCGCCCGUCACACCAUGGAAGUCUGCAAUGCCCGAAGCCGGUGGCCUAACCACUUAUGUGGAAGGAGCCGUCUAAGGCAGGGCAGAUGACUGGGGUGAAGUCGUAACAAGGUAAC